This is a non-coding RNA of Mesorhizobium amorphae CCNWGS0123, 122 nucleotides long. The record is from Rfam. Lineage: Bacteria; Pseudomonadati; Pseudomonadota; Alphaproteobacteria; Hyphomicrobiales; Phyllobacteriaceae.
GAGGGUGGGCCCCUCGGGAUCGGCUUUCAGGAGCGGGUCUCAAACCAGCCCAAGCUGCUGUGGUAGAAGAGCCAUGGUGGUUAGCGUUGGGUCAAAAGCCGCGGACAUGAUCUGGGGCAGGU